RNAcentral lists this ribosomal RNA (743 nucleotides) under uncultured bacterium. Its description in RNAcentral is "bacterial SSU rRNA". It matches the Rfam family "Bacterial small subunit ribosomal RNA", at positions 94 to 823 of the family's 1533-position model. The record is from RNAcentral.
AGCGGCGGAUGGGUGAGUAACACGUGGGGAACCUGCCCCUAAGUCUGGGAUACCAUUUGGAAACAGGUGCUAAUACCGGAUAAUAAAGCAGAUCGCAUGAUCAGCUUUUGAAAGGCGGCGUAAGCUGUCGCUAAGGGAUGGCCCCGCGGUGCAUUAGCUAGUUGGUAAGGUAACGGCUUACCAAGGCGACGAUGCAUAGCCGAGUUGAGAGACUGAUCGGCCACAUUGGGACUGAGACACGGCCCAAACUCCUACGGGAGGCAGCAGUAGGGAAUCUUCCACAAUGGACGCAAGUCUGACGGAGCAACGCCGCGUGAGUGAAGAAGGUUUUCGGAUCGUAAAGCUCUGUUGUUGGUGAAGAAGGAUAGAGGUAGUAACUGGCCUUUAUUUGACGGCAAUCAACCAGAAAGUCACGGCUAACUACGUGCCAGCAGCCGCGGUAAUACGUAGGUGGCAAGCGUUGUCCGGAUUUAUUGGGCGUAAAGCGAGCGCAGGCGGAAAAAUAAGUCUAAUGUGAAAGCCCUCGGCUUAACCGAGGAACUGCAUCGGAAACUGUUUUUCUUGAGUGCAGAAGAGGAGAGUGGAACUCCAUGUGUAGCGGUGGAAUGCGUAGAUAUAUGGAAGAACACCAGUGGCGAAGGCGGCUCUCUGGUCUGCAACUGACGCUGAGGCUCGAAAGCAUGGGUAGCGAACAGGAUUAGAUACCCUGGUAGUCCAUGCCGUAAACGAUGAGUGCUAAGUGU